Molecule: ribosomal RNA, 253 nt
Filed under: uncultured bacterium
Lineage: Bacteria
Description: partial 16S ribosomal RNA
Rfam family: Bacterial small subunit ribosomal RNA
Source: RNAcentral
UACGGGGGGGGCAAGCGUUGUUCGGAAUUACUGGGCGUAAAGGGCGCGUAGGCGGGCGGACAAGUCUCUCGUGAAAGCCCACGGCUCAACCGUGGAACUGCGGGAGAUACUGUCUGUCUUGAGUCCGGGAGAGGAGGGUGGAAUUCCCAGUGUAGCGGUGAAAUGCGUAGAUAUUGGGAGGAACACCGGUGGCGAAGGCGGCUCUCUGGACCGGUACUGACGAUGAGGCGCGAAAGCUAGGGGAGCAAACGGG